RNAcentral lists this ribosomal RNA (253 nucleotides) under uncultured bacterium. Its description in RNAcentral is "partial 16S ribosomal RNA". It matches the Rfam family "Bacterial small subunit ribosomal RNA", at positions 524 to 776 of the family's 1533-position model. The record is from RNAcentral.
UACGGGGGGGGCAAGCGUUGUUCGGAAUUACUGGGCGUAAAGGGCUCGUAGGCGGCCAACUAAGUCGGAUGUGAAAUCCCCAGGCUCGACCUGGGAACUGCAUCCGAUACUGGAUGGCUUGAAUUCGGGAGAGGGAUGCAGAAUUCCAGGUGUAGCGGUGAAAUGCGUAGAUAUCUGGAGGAAUACCGGUGGCGAAGGCGGCAUCCCGGACCGACAUUGACGCUGAGGAGCGAAAGCCAGGGGAGCAAACGGG